GAUAACGUUCCAGAUUGAGAGCUGACUUGUUCAGGGUCCACGAGGCCAACAAGGUUUACCAUAUUCGCCAUUUUUAAAUAGUCAAAUAGGUACCUAAUUAAAUAUAUGAAAUUCAAUUAAAUGAGAUUUUAAUUUAAAAGAAAGGAAAUGUAAAAAAAAUAAAAUUGGAUUUCUAGAAUUACCUCAUGUAUAGUGCAAUCACUGUGGAUCCAAUCUCAACCAUGGAAGCAAACUGUAAAACGUCUUCACACAAUAGCCAGG
RNAcentral lists this long non-coding RNA (261 nucleotides) under Prunus persica (peach). RNAcentral describes it as "long non-coding RNA (PPER_LNC000590)". The record is from RNAcentral. Lineage: Eukaryota; Viridiplantae; Streptophyta; Magnoliopsida; Rosales; Rosaceae.